GAUGAACGCUGGCGGCGUGCCUAAUACAUGCAAGUCGAGCGAACAGACGAGGAGCUUGCUCCUCUGACGUUAGCGGCGGACGGGUGAGUAACACGUGGAUAACCUACCUAUAAGACUGGGAUAACUUCGGGAAACCGGAGUUAAUACCGGAUAAUAUAUUGAACCGCAUGGUUCAAUAGUGAAAGACGGUUUUGCUGUCACUUAUAGAUGGAUCCGCGCCGCAUUAGCUAGUUGGUAAGGUAACGGCUUACCAAGGCAACGAUGCGUAGCCGACCUGAGAGGGUGAUCGGCCACACUGGAACUGAGACACGGUCCAGACGCCUACGGGAGGCAGCAGUAGGGAAUCUUCCGCAAUGGGCGAAAGCCUGACGGAGCAACGCCGCGUGAGUGAUGAAGGUCUUCGGAUCGUAAAACUCUGUUAUUAGGGAAGAACAAAUGUGUAAGUAACUAUGCACGUCUUGACGGUACCUAAUCAGAAAGCCACGGCUAACUACGUG
Molecule: ribosomal RNA, 497 nt
Filed under: uncultured bacterium
Lineage: Bacteria
Description: partial 16S ribosomal RNA
Rfam family: Bacterial small subunit ribosomal RNA
Source: RNAcentral